This 275-nucleotide ribosomal RNA is filed under the name uncultured prokaryote. Its description in RNAcentral is "partial 16S ribosomal RNA". It matches the Rfam family "Bacterial small subunit ribosomal RNA", at positions 505 to 779 of the family's 1533-position model. The record is from RNAcentral.
GUGCCAGCCGCCGCGGUAAUACAGAGGGUGCAAGCGUUAAUCGGAUUUACUGGGCGUAAAGCGCGCGUAGGCGGCUAAUUAAGUCAAAUGUGAAAUCCCCGAGCUUAACUUGGGAAUUGCAUUCGAUACUGGUUAGCUAGAGUGUGGGAGAGGAUGGUAGAAUUCCAGGUGUAGCGGUGAAAUGCGUAGAGAUCUGGAGGAAUACCGAUGGCGAAGGCAGCCAUCUGGCCUAACACUGACGCUGAGGUGCGAAAGCAUGGGGAGCAAACAGGAUU